CCCGGCGACCGGCGCACGGGUGAGUAACACGUAUGCAACCUGGUUGCCACAGGGGGAUAACCCGCGGAAACGCGGCCUAAUACCCCGUGACGCCACCGGAGGGCAUCCUCCGGUGGCCAAAGGAGCGAUCCGGUGGCGGAUGGGCAUGCGGCGCAUUAGCUAGACGGCGGGGUGACGGCCCACCGUGGCGACGAUGCGUAGGGGUUCUGAGAGGAAGGCCCCCCACACUGGGACUGAGACACGGCCCAGACUCCUACGGAAGGCAGCAG
Molecule: ribosomal RNA, 269 nt
Filed under: uncultured bacterium
Lineage: Bacteria
Description: partial 16S ribosomal RNA
Rfam family: Bacterial small subunit ribosomal RNA
Source: RNAcentral